RNAcentral lists this ribosomal RNA (207 nucleotides) under uncultured bacterium. Its description in RNAcentral is "partial 16S ribosomal RNA". It matches the Rfam family "Bacterial small subunit ribosomal RNA", at positions 568 to 774 of the family's 1533-position model. The record is from RNAcentral.
CGCGUAGGUGGUUCGAUAAGCGAGAUGUGAAAGCCCCGGGCUUAACCUGGGAACGGCAUUUCGAACUGUCGGGCUAGAGUGUGGUAGAGGGUAGUGGAAUUUCCUGUGUAGCGGUGAAAUGCGUAGAUAUAGGAAGGAACACCAGUGGCGAAGGCGGCUACCUGGACCAACACUGACACUGAGGUGCGAAAGCGUGGGGAGCAAACA